Molecule: non-coding RNA, 428 nt
Organism: Cinara cedri
Lineage: Eukaryota; Metazoa; Arthropoda; Insecta; Hemiptera; Aphididae
Source: the annotation of a GenBank genome assembly
CCUAUAAAUAAUAAUUUCUUCUAGAAAUCUGUAUAGGAGUUCAAAGUGUUAAUAAAUAAUUAUAAUCACGGCCUUUGAAGAUAGUUCUGGUAUUACAUUAAUAAAAAUAAUCACACAGUGAGUUACAUUAUAGUCGUGGGCACAAAAAAUGAAUGCUGACGGAAUGUUAUUUUUUUAUAAUUGUUAAGCUUUGAUGCCCAGGUACUCAAUAUUUUACAUUGUUAGUCUUUUGUGCUCCUUAAAUAUUAGAGGGUAGAUAUUAUAGGGGGAACGAACCAUUGUACUACUUUAAAUUUUUUUUGUCUACUCUAUUGUUUGUACACUGUAGUAUAGGUACAUAUAUUUUGUGCGUGCAGUGUUUCUACCAAUUUGUUAUUUUUUUUUGUGUUUAAUAUACUGAUUUACUGAUUUAUUCAUAUAAAAUGUUG